This 253-nucleotide ribosomal RNA is filed under the name uncultured bacterium. RNAcentral's name for it is "partial 16S ribosomal RNA". It matches the Rfam family "Bacterial small subunit ribosomal RNA", at positions 524 to 776 of the family's 1533-position model. The record is from RNAcentral.
UACGAAGGUGGCAAGCGUUGUUCGGAUUUACUGGGCGUACAGGGAGCGUAGGCGGUUGGAUAAGCCCUCCGUGAAAUCUCCAGGCUUAACCUGGAAAGUGCAGAGGGGACUGUUCAGCUAGAGGAUGGGAGAGGAGCGCGGAAUUUCCGGUGUAGCGGUGAAAUGCGUAGAGAUCGGGAGGAAGGCCGGUGGCGAAGGCGGCGCUCUGGAACAUUUCUGACGCUGAGGCUCGAAAGCGUGGGGAGCAAACAGG